GAACUCGGCAGGUGGGGAAAAGGGAAAAAGGCUUUCCCUGCAACGGGGAGACCACGAGGCUUGGAGGACUGACAGGGUAGCGGGGAAGCUGAAGGGCAGAUGGUGUGGACUCGGGUGGUCCUUAGGAGCAGUGCUGAAGUAACUGGUUUUUAUCCUGCAGGAAUUAACCGACUUGCAGAGGGAUCCUCCUGCCCAGUGUUCUGCAGGACCUGUCGGUGAUGACUUGUUCCACUGGCAGGCCACCAUCAUGGGCCCGAAUGACAGUCCUUACCAAGGAGGUGUUUUCUUCCUGACCAUCCACUUUCCUACAGAUUACCCGUUCAAGCCCCCAAAGGUGAGGUCCCUCUCCCAACUCCCCUGAUGUUUGGAUGAAGGACAGCAUGUGACAAGGGGCCCUUCAAGUCAGGUAUAGGUAAAAAGAGCUGUACGUGGGGUUUCUCUGAGGGCCCACUGCUCCACCCUGUGGUGACAGUUUCCCAGGACUUUAAUUACUGGACUUUGAGAAUUAGCACCUGUUGUGAUCAAGGGUCAGUGGGGUGAGCUGGUGCUGGCCUUACUGAGGCCACAGUUUGAAUGCUUCUCCUUGUGACUGUAGCUGAGUCUGGUCAUGUCUCCAGGCUCUGGCUCCCUUCUCUGCAGUCCCUUAGAGUUAGGACAGGGGUUCUCAGCUGGGGUGAUUUUGCUACUGCCCCAGGGACAUUUGAGCAACAUCUUAGGAUAUUUUGGGUUAUCAAAACUGUGGUGAGGGAGUACUACUGGUAUCUAGUCGGCAAAGGCCAGGGUAUUCCAGGGAUUCCCUGCAGUGCACAGGAGAGCCACCCUUCCCAUGACAGAUAAUGAUCAGCCCCAAGUGUCAAUAGUGCCAAGGUGGACACACCCUGGUUUAGGACUGGUGAGUCACACCUUCACUUUUCUUUAUUAAGUUAAAAGAAUAGCAAGCCUCCUUUGCCCUUCAUGCACACACCAUCCCAUCAGUGGAGCUUUAGAGGGCAGUGCCACCAAAGGGAAGGAGAAGCCCAGGGAGCUGCCUCGACCACCCUGCCCUAGCAUGUCUUGUGCACCGCAGGUCGUCUCACUCCCUGGACCCUUGGACCUCAUACUCCUUCUCACCUGGGCUCUGCAUGGGUGGCCGAGCCUGCCCUGAGGCUCAUAGUCCUGUGGAGGAGACAGGGCAUUUAGCAUGUGAGCUACUCAGCACUGGGAAGGAGCACAAGCAGUGGUUGGCAGCAGGAGCCAGGGUGGUGGAGAGAUUGCCCUGAGAAAGGGGAACUGCAGGAGCUCAGCAAGAGGGCGGACAGGUCCCCAGGAAACUGCCCCAGGGGAGUGAGCCUGUGAGGAGUUGGGAAGGAGGCCAGAGGGGUACGGAUGGCCCCAGGAGUAGGGUCUGCACGCCGUUGUGGGGAUCGCCACACCGACACAAUCACUCUGCUGCCUUGUGGAGAAGAGGCUGGGGUUCAAGUGAUUCUCCUGCUUCAGCCUCCUGAGUAGCUGGGACUACAGGCACUCGCCACCACACGUGGCUAAUUUUUGUGUUAUUUUUAGUAGAGACAGGGUUUCACAAUGUUGGCCAAGCUGGUCUCGAACUCCUGGCCUUAGGUGAUCCACCCACCUCCGCCUCCCAAAGUGCUGGGAUUCCAAGUGUGAGCCACCACGCUUGGCCAGGUUGUGCAUUUUGUCAAGACUUACUCGAAAGUCCUGCAUCUGCAUCAGACCCCUUAGCUGAGGGGUUGUGAUAUUGCUGUGUCUUACUACCUUGACUUGGCCUUGAUGCCUCAAUUUGAGUCAGAGGCUUAGCUGCUGUUUUGCAUGUUGUUUAUCUGAGUCAAUGUGAAGAAGCCCCUUCUGUGCUCACCAGCUGCAGCUCUGUCCAGACAUCGCCACCAGAGGCUACCUGGUGCCUGAGCAUUUUAAAUCUUUGUUAAAUAUGCUUAGGAUCCCAGAGACCUUUUAAGCUUUUGGCAAGGGAGUGGGGUGUGCUGAGCAGGGCAAUGACAGAUGCUAAAAUAGCUUCACCACAUUGGAGUACAACUGCUGUUCAAGGGAGUUUGGUUGAAAAAUCAUAAGCAUGCUUCAUGGUGCUG
This 2081-nucleotide long non-coding RNA is filed under the name Pan troglodytes (chimpanzee). RNAcentral's name for it is "long non-coding RNA NONPTRT015569". Lineage: Eukaryota; Metazoa; Chordata; Mammalia; Primates; Hominidae. The record is from RNAcentral.